UACGUAGGUGGCGAGCGUUAUCCGGAAUGAUUGGGCGUAAAGGGUGCGUAGGCGGCCUGCUAAGUCUGGAGUGAAAGGUACCGGCUCAACCGGUACAGGCUCUGGAAACUGGCGGGCUAGAGAGCAGGAGAGGGCGGUGGAACUCCAUGUGUAGCGGUAAAAUGCGUAGAUAUAUGGAAGAACACCAGUGGCGAAGGCGGCUCUCUGGCCUGUAACUGACACUGAGGCUCGAAAGCGUGGGGAGCAAACAGG
Molecule: ribosomal RNA, 252 nt
Filed under: uncultured bacterium
Lineage: Bacteria
Description: partial 16S ribosomal RNA
Rfam family: Bacterial small subunit ribosomal RNA
Source: RNAcentral